RNAcentral lists this long non-coding RNA (3558 nucleotides) under Heterocephalus glaber (naked mole-rat). RNAcentral describes it as "lncRNA (ENSHGLG00000034187.1)". Lineage: Eukaryota; Metazoa; Chordata; Mammalia; Rodentia; Bathyergidae. The record is from RNAcentral.
UAAGGCCCUGACCAGGAGAGGGUCACCGUGACUACAACCACCUCCCUUUCCUCAACGAGGUUAUGCAAUGGAGGAAGAAGCUGACAAGAGAAAUGAGACCAUAAAGCUCUACGAGGAGAGUAGAUUGUUAGUCAAUUCUUUCAUCAUAAAUUAAUGGAGACUUCCUGGAAGAUGGUGGAGUGGUGAACAGCAGAGAGGGAGCCUCUCCGAGAUUUGGUGUCCUGACACUGGAAUAUAGCAGCAUGAGGAGGAGAAGGAGGAGGGAAGUAGGUCCCUGAAACCCAGGAAGGGUCUGAGUUGAGAAUUGAAAUCCACUGGGAGACUGAAGAGAGUGAUUUUAACGAAGAAGAGGUAGGUAGCAAGCAGUGCUCUAUCCCAGAGUCUGGACUCUGUGAGGGAAAGGCAGGCCAGCUGUGCAGAUGCUGGCGACUCCAGAGGCCUCCACGGAGAAGCACACCAGGGGAACACAGCAGUGGAUGCAGCCGAGUGCAGCGGAGUACAGCGGCUGCAGGUCUUGUCAGAGUUGUUCUAUGUAAACAAGAUCACUGGCUAACAUCCCAAGGAAAGCAAGUGCAUCCAACAAGUCUUCCAGGUGGAGCAAGUGGCAGACAGCGGCGCGGGCACCUGAGUUAGAAUCUAGUCUGUGCCUCUUAUCAGCUCUUCGACUUUGGACAGGUUGGACAAUCGUAACUGGACUUUCUUCAUCUAGAACAAAGGCUGAGCAGAGAAGCUGAGAAUCUUGUGGAGGACCAGCAGCCAUCCUUCUAGCUUCAGGAAAAAUCCGACAGUGAGGCUGGCAGAGAAGAGCCCCUCUGGACUUCUUUUUAUGUCAUCAAGAGGUGAGCAGCUUUGCUCUACCACAUGGUUGUCCCCACCAUGAUAUUCUACCUCACCCUAGGUCGAGAAGCAAUGGAGCCAGCCAGCCAUGCACUGAACCCUCCACAACUGUGAGCCAAGAUAAACCCUCCUCCUACUCCGUGCAGAUGGCGGGAUUGUUCACAUAGCAGGACAGAUUUGCCAUCAAAGGGACAAGAAAUCUUGGCAGGAGGCACGUGAGUGCCAGUGGCGAGUCUCUCGUUGAUCCUGGCAUCUGUCCAGCAGAUCCUUCCUUUUCAGUGAAUGAGGAAGAAAGACCGCUUAUUCUGCUCUGCCAAGGCUAAUCAGACUCAAGUUUUCCCAGCACUGGAACUUGCCAGCUUUCAGCUGCAGAGAGAAAGCAGAUACAUUUUAGGAAAGAACAACAAAUGCACAUUCCCUUCAACCUUGAACCCCGCACAACUUCACAAUCUACAUAAUCAUUUGCAAAGGAGACCGCUUCGCAGAGGGGCCCUGGAUUUGAGCGCUCAGGAGGCAAAGUGAUCCUGGGGGUGCUUACCAAAGAACUGCUUUCUUUGCCUAGUUGUUGACAUUAACCAAGAUUUUCUUUUCUUUUUUUUUUUUCUGGUUUUCAGAAUCGAACUCAGGACCUUGCGCUUGCCAGGCAGGUGUGGCAUCACUGAGCUACAUUCCAGGCCCUUCUUUUUUAUUAAAAAUAAAUUAAUGAAGCCUGCCCAGCCAGACUUCCCAAGUUGGUGUGGACUUCUUGGAGCCGUGUAUUGGCAACCAGGAUCUCACUCUGUACUUCAGAUUGGCCUUAGCCCAGCUGACCUCAAACUCAUGGUGAUCCUCCUGCCUCAGCUUCCCAAGUGCUGGGAUAACAGGAAAAACAGGAAUUUGGAAGGAACCUAUGGGCCACUCAGAAGUCUGAAUGUCCAAGAUGUUUGGAGGAAGAGCUUUCCCUCCGUUGCCAGGAGCAGCUCUUUCAAAUUGUUAAUCAGUGUGAUGUAUCAAAGAGAAGGCUGCUUUGUCCUUCCUAAAGAGAGCAGGAGGCUACGUGUGGCUAUCUGGACCCCUGAGCCCUGGAAAAUCACCUGAAUUCUUUUCUGGAAUGAACUGGAUAUAGGUUAACAAAUUACUUGUGUAAACAUUUUAUUCUGUCAACACAAGUUGUGUAUGAGAAACUUCUUGGUUGCUAAAGUAAGCCAGUAACCUCGGUGGUUGCAUCUUCACAUCUGAAUAAUGAAGGGCUGGACCAGAGGAUCUGGAGCUGCCUGACGUUGUCUCACUCCACGACCAGGGAGAAGCGGAAGCGGGAAACAUUCUGCCCAUUGAUGACUUUUUUUUUCCUUUGGUACUGGGGAUCAAACUCGGGACCUUGCAUUUUCCAGGCAGGCGGCGGAACCACUGAGCUAAAUCCCCAGCCCCAUUGAUGGCUUUUUACAACAGAGGCUUUUGUUAGCUGUUUCUCUUUCAAGGCAAGGCAGGGAAGGCACCCAUUUUGUGUAUGUGUCUCCUGGUCAUAGGGUAAGAGAGGAGAAGAAGGUUUUGCUGUACUCUCUACUUCCUGUGGUGAUACUGCUUUUUUUUUUUUUUUUUUGUGAGGAAAAGUAUUGUUUCUUUUUUAAACCUUGCAUAGAAUUCUUAUAUGGGAAAGAAAGACGUGGGAGGGCCUGAAGCCGGUCCCGAGGGCUUUCCCUUUGGCCCAGAGAUACCUGGUCUCUCUGGAAGACAUGUAGGAAACCAGUGCUCUAAAGCAGUCUCCCCAAGGCCCAAGUUCUGCAUCUCUCCAUGCUGUCCCCAUGUAAAAGUGCUGGUGGUGGGGCAAACUGUAAAUGGUUACGGGUGUGCAACUCUGUGGAGGGCUAGGGACGUGAGAGAUGAGGGGUAGAGAGAGGCCAUUUCCUUGUGAAGCCGAGAUGGGCACAGGCGGGACCCGGCGGCUGUACAUGGAGCAGAAAAGACCCAUGGAUGACUCAAAGUGAGGUGCGCCCUCCCUGUUGUCGUGAAGGCCGCUGUCUAGUUGAGUCGCUUCUGUAGCGGGAAUAGUCAGUGUCAUUAAUUUUCCCCUGUACUGAGUGGGCCGUGGAACAUGAAGCUGACUUGAUGGAUCACAGUGCCACUUCGGAGCAGAGUGGUCAAAGUCUGCCUUACAGGACGUAAAGGACAGAAACCAAGAAUGCCAUCAUUAAUUCAAAGAUACUUGAAGGCUGAGAUGAGAACCUUUUGGCUUCUCAGGGCCAAUUUAUUUCCCUAGAAAGGAGGACUACAACAGACAAGAAUUUCUGACACAUCAUGGGAAAAAGUGAAGAAGUCAAUCUUUGGGGUGUGUUUUUACCCAGGAGGUGGCCUGCAAUGGGUUAGUGGCACAUCACAAUAAAUUAUUUAUCAGGACGUGUAAGAUCACAGUCAUCCUGGAGUUUUGCCUGACCGGAUGUAAAAUCAAUGUGGAGCUGAAAUUCAGUGAAUAACCAUGCUGACUGGACCUACUCAAUGGAGAACCACAGAAAAUAUCUUCCUGGGUACCCCAGUGUAACAAAGCAAAGGUGCUAUUUUGUUUUGCAUCGGUGGUCUUAUGGCUAAGCACAUUAUAUUUAGCAGCUGGAGUCCCCUCAUUUGAUUUUCAACCUCACCCAACUAGACAUUUGGCAAUCUCGAUUAAAUGGCUUUCUCAUUCUGUCACUAAAAUUUUAACAGCAGUUGUUAAGUGAAACAUGAGAAAGCUGUGUUCACUACCAUGUA